Molecule: ribosomal RNA, 254 nt
Filed under: uncultured bacterium
Lineage: Bacteria
Description: partial 16S ribosomal RNA
Rfam family: Bacterial small subunit ribosomal RNA
Source: RNAcentral
UACGUAGGGUGCGAGCGUUAAUCGGAAUUACUGGGCGUAAAGCGUGCGCAGGCGGUUCGUCGUGUCUGAUGUGAAAGCCCCGGGCUCAACCUGGGAAUGGCAUUGGAAACUGGCGGACUAGAGUGUGGCAGAGGGGGGUGGAAUUCCGCGUGUAGCAGUGAAAUGCGUAGAGAUGCGGAGGAACACCGAUGGCGAAGGCAGCCCCCCUGGGCUAACACUGACGCUCAGGCACGAAAGCGUGGGGAGCAAACAGG